AUACGGAGGGUGCAAGCGUUGUUCGGAAUUACUGGGCGUAAAGCGCGCGUAGGUGGUCUGUUAUGUCAGAUGUGAAAGUCCACGGCUCAACCGUGGAAGUGCAUUUGAAACUGGCAGACUUGAGUACUGGAGGGGGUAGUGGAAUUCCCGGUGUUGAGGUGAAAUUCGUAGAUAUCGGGAGGAAUAUCGGUGGCGAAGGCGACUACCUGGCCAGAUACUGACACUGAGGUGCGAAAGCGUGGGGAGCAAACAGGAUUAGAAACCCUAGUAGUCC
RNAcentral lists this ribosomal RNA (274 nucleotides) under uncultured bacterium. RNAcentral describes it as "partial 16S ribosomal RNA". It matches the Rfam family "Bacterial small subunit ribosomal RNA", at positions 523 to 796 of the family's 1533-position model. The record is from RNAcentral.